UGAUGCAGCAUGUCGCGUGAGUGAAGAAGGCCCUUGGGUCGUAAAGCUCUUUUAUGGGGGAAGAUGAUGACGGUACCCCAAGAAUAAGCACCGGCUAACUAUGUGCCAGCAGCCGCGGUAAUACAUAGGGUGCGAGCGUUGUUCGGAAUUACUGGGCGUAAAGGGCGCGCAGGCGGAAUAGUAAGUCGGAGGUGAAAGCCCGGGGCUCAACCCCGGAGGGUCUUUCGAAACUGCUAAUCUAGAGAGGGUCAGGGGCCGGCAGAAUUCCUGGUGUAGAGGUGAAAUUCGUAGAUAUCAGGAGGAAUACCGGUGGCGAAGGCGGCCGGCUGGGGCCACUCUGACGCUGAGGCGCGAAAGCGUGGGGAGCAAACAGGAUUAGAUACCCUGGUAGUCCACGCCGUAAACGAUGAGCACUGGACGUCCGGAGGGUU
RNAcentral lists this ribosomal RNA (431 nucleotides) under uncultured SAR324 cluster bacterium. RNAcentral's name for it is "bacterial SSU rRNA". It matches the Rfam family "Bacterial small subunit ribosomal RNA", at positions 384 to 833 of the family's 1533-position model. The record is from RNAcentral. Lineage: Bacteria; Deltaproteobacteria.